ACCUACGACAACGUUUAAUAUUUUUUUCGUAAAAACUAGCAAACAUUACGAAUAUAUUAUAUCUAUUAUUAUAUCACGUAUUAUAUAUUAUAUACAAAUAUUUGUCAAAGAUAAUAAAUACAUAUGCAAGUGAUCGUGUUGUUGAUAGUAAUCAAAUGUAACUCGUGACGCUAUUAGUAUUUUAAUCUUGCUGAAAAAUGUCGAAAGGUGGAUUCGAUACGAGAGAAGAAUAGCAGAAAAAGAAAAAAGAAAAAAGAAUCGCAAGUGUCGUAUAGUAAUACGUCGCUAUGGUAUUAUCGUAGGUCUGUAACGUUAAAUUAAGAUUCUUAAGAGACGAAAAAGGUUUAAUAGCCGAUUACACAGAUAUUUUGGAUACACGGUAAAUGCGAUGUUUGUCAAUAAUUCGUGAAGAUUGUUUAUUUGGAAAUUUGUUUCCAAGGGAUCGUUCGCGGUUGUCCGAUUUAACGAAAUGGAACUCGUCGCAUUUUAUCGACCUAAAACGUCAUGCGCAGAUAUUUUGACCUAUAUAAUUUAGAUACUAUACUGUACAGAUAAGUAGAAAAUAAAGCAAUUGACACUGGCAUAUGCGUAUCUCAGAUAGUUACUAUUUUAUCGAAAUGAUUCAAUUUAAUGGAAAUCGCUUACCAUACCGUCUCGUUUUUCCGCGUAUAAAAUCAUUCGUACGAUCACUAGAAUCAUGUUGGACUCGAGCGAUGGGUCCAUGUAAAUUGCACUCACCUAGGAUUAAAAUACGUACGAAAAUGUAACAGGCGUUAAAACAGUAUUUGCACUCUUACGAAUAAAUUAUUAUUCAAAACUCUCGUAAAUACGACGCAUCUUAUAUAAUUUUC
Molecule: long non-coding RNA, 851 nt
Organism: Bombus impatiens (common eastern bumble bee)
Lineage: Eukaryota; Metazoa; Arthropoda; Insecta; Hymenoptera; Apidae
Exons: 2
Source: RefSeq, a predicted model, not a curated record